UACGAAGGGGGCUAGCGUUGCUUGGAAUCACUGGGCGUAAAGCGCACGUAGGCGGUUUUUUAAGCCAGGGGUGAAAUCCUGGAGCUCAACUCCAGAACUGCCUUUGAUACUGAGAAGCUUGAGUCCGGGAGAGGUGAGUGGAACUGCGAGUGUAGAGGUGAAAUUCGUAGAUAUUCGGAAGAACACCAGUGGCGAAGGCGACUUACUGGACGACUAUUGACGCUGAGGUGCGAAAGCGUGGGGAGCAAACAGG
Molecule: ribosomal RNA, 253 nt
Filed under: uncultured bacterium
Lineage: Bacteria
Description: partial 16S ribosomal RNA
Rfam family: Bacterial small subunit ribosomal RNA
Source: RNAcentral